CCUACGGGGGGCAGCAGUGGGGAAUAUUGGACAAUGGGCGAAAGCCUGAUCCAGCCAUGCCGCGUGUGUGAAGAAGGCCUUCGGGUUGUAAAGCACUUUCAGUGGGGAAGAAAGCCUUGGGGCUAAUACCCUCGAGGAAGGACAUCACCCACAGAAGAAGCACCGGCUAACUCCGUGCCAGCAGCCGCGGUAAUACGGAGGGUGCGAGCGUUAAUCGGAAUUACUGGGCGUAAAGCGCGCGUAGGCGGUCUGAUAAGCCGGUUGUGAAAGCCCCGGGCUCAACCUGGGAACGGCAUCCGGAACUGUCAGGCUAGAGUGCAGGAGAGGAAGGUAGAAUUCCCGGUGUAGCGGUGAAAUGCGUAGAGAUCGGGAGGAAUACCAGUGGCGAAGGCGGCCUUCUGGACUGACACUGACGCUGAGGCGCGAAAGCGUGGGUAGCAAACAGGAUUAGAUACCCUAGUAGUC
Molecule: ribosomal RNA, 465 nt
Filed under: Vreelandella stevensii
Lineage: Bacteria; Pseudomonadati; Pseudomonadota; Gammaproteobacteria; Oceanospirillales; Halomonadaceae
Description: partial 16S ribosomal RNA
Rfam family: Bacterial small subunit ribosomal RNA
Source: RNAcentral